RNAcentral lists this ribosomal RNA (305 nucleotides) under uncultured bacterium. RNAcentral's name for it is "bacterial SSU rRNA". It matches the Rfam family "Bacterial small subunit ribosomal RNA", at positions 337 to 652 of the family's 1533-position model. The record is from RNAcentral.
CCCUACGGGGGGCAGCAGUAGGGAAUUUUCGGCAAUGGGGGGAACCCUGACCGAGCAACGCCGCGUGAACGAAGAAGUUAUUCGUAAUGUAAAGUUCUUUUAUCAGGGAAGAAAGAGGAAUUUGACGGUACCUGAGGAAUAAGCUCCGGCUAACUACGUGCCAGCAGCCGCGGUAAUACGUAGGGAGCGAGCGUUGUCCGGAAUUACUGGGCGUAAAGGGCGCGUAGGCGGGAACUUAAGUUAGAUGUGAAAACUCCGGGCUUAACCUGGAGACUGCAUUUAAAACUGGGUUUCUUGAGGGCAGG